CCCAGACUCCUACGGGAGGCAGCAGUGAGGAAUAUUGGUCAAUGGGCGGGAGCCUGAACCAGCCAAGUCGCGUGAGGGAAGACGGUCCUACGGAUUGUAAACCUCUUUUGCCGGGGAGCAACGGGGUCCUUGCGAGGGCCCGAUGAGAGUACCCGGAGAAAAAGCAUCGGCUAACUCCGUGCCAGCAGCCGCGGUAAUACGGAGGAUGCGAGCGUUAUCCGGAUUUAUUGGGUUUAAAGGGUGCGUAGGCGGAAUGCCAAGUCAGCGGUAAAAUCGCGGGGCUCAACCUCGCUCCGCCGUUGAAACUGGCGUUCUUGAGUGGGCGAGAAGUAUGCGGAAUGCGUGGUGUAGCGGUGAAAUGCAUAGAUAUCACGCAGAACUCCGAUUGCGAAGGCAGCAUACCGGCGCCCAACUGACGCUGAAGCACGAAAGCGUGGGUAUCGAACAGGAUUAGAUACCCCAGUA
RNAcentral lists this ribosomal RNA (465 nucleotides) under uncultured bacterium. RNAcentral's name for it is "bacterial SSU rRNA". It matches the Rfam family "Bacterial small subunit ribosomal RNA", at positions 330 to 792 of the family's 1533-position model. The record is from RNAcentral.